This 506-nucleotide ribosomal RNA is filed under the name uncultured bacterium. RNAcentral's name for it is "partial 16S ribosomal RNA". It matches the Rfam family "Bacterial small subunit ribosomal RNA", at positions 28 to 523 of the family's 1533-position model. The record is from RNAcentral.
GAUGAACGCUAGCUACAGGCUUAACACAUGCAAGUCGAGGGGUAACGAGAGGAAAGCUUGCUUUCCUUGUCGACGACCGGCGCACGGGUGAGUAACGCGUAUCCAACCUGCCCCCAACUAGGGAAUAACCUUGCGAAAGUAAGACUAAUACCCUAUAAUUUCCUCAGAUGUCAUCUGACGAGGAAUAAAGAUUUAUCGGUUGGGGAUGGGGAUGCGUCUGAUUAGCUUGUUGGCGGGGUAACGGCCCACCAAGGCAACGAUCAGUAGGGGUUCUGAGAGGAAGGUCCCCCACAUUGGAACUGAGACACGGUCCAAACUCCUACGGGAGGCAGCAGUGAGGAAUAUUGGUCAAUGGGCGGAAGCCUGAACCAGCGAAGUAGCGUGCAGGAUGACGGCCCUAUGGGUUGUAAACUGCUUUUAUACAGGAAUAAAGUUAGCCACGUGUGGUUAUUUGUAGGUACUGUAUGAAUAAGCACCGGCUAACUCCGUGCCAGCAGCCGCCGUAA